AUUUAUAUAAUAUAAUAAGUAUAUGUGACUUCCAAUCACAAAGUCUAAAAUUUAGUAUAAAUA
Molecule: transfer RNA, 63 nt
Filed under: Pericoma sp. ZHK-2021
Lineage: Eukaryota; Metazoa; Arthropoda; Insecta; Diptera; Psychodidae
Description: tRNA-Gly
Source: RNAcentral